GAUUCUAUAGUCAAUGUUAUGAUAUUAAAUUGCAAAUUUAAAGUAGUAUUUUACUGGAAUCU
Molecule: transfer RNA, 62 nt
Filed under: Panaorus albomaculatus
Lineage: Eukaryota; Metazoa; Arthropoda; Insecta; Hemiptera; Rhyparochromidae
Description: tRNA-Cys
Source: RNAcentral